AAAGCACCUCCAGAGCUUGAAGC
This 23-nucleotide microRNA is filed under the name Homo sapiens (human). RNAcentral's name for it is "hsa-miR-498-3p". Its record names the gene hsa-miR-498-3p. The record is from miRBase by way of RNAcentral. Lineage: Eukaryota; Metazoa; Chordata; Mammalia; Primates; Hominidae.